RNAcentral lists this small RNA (127 nucleotides) under Marmota monax (woodchuck). The record is from RNAcentral. Lineage: Eukaryota; Metazoa; Chordata; Mammalia; Rodentia; Sciuridae.
GCUGGGUAUGGUGGUGCACGCCUGUAAUCCCAGCAACUCAGGAGGCUGAGGCAGGAGGAUUGCAAGUUCAAAGCUAGUCUCAGCAACUUAGCAAGGUCCUAAGCAAUUUAGCAAGACACUGUUUUGA